UGGGAUACAAAGUGUUCUGAGGUGGGGG
Molecule: non-coding RNA, 28 nt
Filed under: Homo sapiens (human)
Lineage: Eukaryota; Metazoa; Chordata; Mammalia; Primates; Hominidae
Source: RNAcentral